RNAcentral lists this ribosomal RNA (478 nucleotides) under uncultured bacterium. Its description in RNAcentral is "partial 16S ribosomal RNA". It matches the Rfam family "Bacterial small subunit ribosomal RNA", at positions 28 to 507 of the family's 1533-position model. The record is from RNAcentral.
GAUGAACGCCGGCGGCGUGCCUAACACAUGCAAGUCGAACGGAGUCCAGCCUUAGAGACCUUCGGGUCAAAGAGGGGAAGACUGAGUGGCGGACGGGUGAGUAACACGUGGGCAACCUGGCUCAUAGAGGGGGAUAACAGAGAGAAAUUUCUGCUAAUACCGCAUAAGCACACACUGCCGCAUGGCAGAGUGUGAAAAGAGAAUCGCUAUGAGAUGGACCCGCGUCUGAUUAGCCAGUUGGCAGGGUAAGAGCCUACCAAAGCGACGAUCAGUAGCCGAUUUGAGAGGAUGAACGGCCACAUUGGGACUGAGACACGGCCCAAACUCCUACGGGAGGCAGCAGUGGGGGAUAUUGCACAAUGGGGGGAACCCUGAUGCAGCGACGCCGCGUGAGUGAAGAAGUAUUUCGGUAUGUAAAGCUCUAUCAGCAGGGAAGAUAAUGACAGUACCUGAAUAAGAAGCCCCGGCUAACUACGUG